CCUACGGGAGGCAGCAGUGAGGAAUAUUGGUCAAUGGGCGCGAGCCUGACCCAGCCAAGUAGCGUGAAGGAUGACUGCCCUACGGGUUGUAAACUUCUUUUAUAAAGGAAUAAAGUGAGGCACGUGUGCCGUUUUGUAUGUACUUUAUGAAUAAGGAUCGGCUAACUCCGUUCCAGCAGCCGCGGUAAUACGGAGGAUCCGAGCGUUAUCCGGAUUUAUUGGGUUUAACGGGAGCGUAGAUGGGUUGUUAAGUCAGAGGUGAAAGUCUGCGGCUCAACAUGAAAACUGCAAUUGAUACUGGCAGCCUUGAGUAUAGUUGAGGUAGGCGGAAUUCGUGGUGUAGCGGUGAAAUGCUUAGAUAUCACGAAGAACACCGAUUGCGAAGGCAGCUUACUAAA
Molecule: ribosomal RNA, 398 nt
Filed under: uncultured bacterium
Lineage: Bacteria
Description: partial 16S ribosomal RNA
Rfam family: Bacterial small subunit ribosomal RNA
Source: RNAcentral